This is a long non-coding RNA of Drosophila ananassae, 717 nucleotides long. RefSeq lists it as uncharacterized. The record is from RefSeq and is a predicted model, not a curated record. The transcript is spliced from 4 exons. NCBI's taxonomy places the organism in Eukaryota, Metazoa, Arthropoda, Insecta, Diptera, Drosophilidae.
AAUCGAUAGGCGAGGAAGUCCCAUCACUACUUACGCAUACCAUCUCUACUAUAAAGUAGCGUGGGUGAAGCCGGCAAAGACGCGUGAAAUGGAACCGACAAAGAAGCAUAAAGACGUACUCCCUGGAGGUCAUCAAGAGGAUUUACUGGCAGCAUUUGGCCGGCGUCCCCGGAAUUCUCGGAAGCGCCAUCAGUAAGUUCUCAGAAGGGGACGCCUCGGCCCGACGCCCAUACAUAUUGCGGCGUCACAUAUUUGGCACGCAGCAUUUAAAUUGCAUGCAGUGGCUGUGGCAGCAACAUCGGCGUCCAACAGGAAAAUGCCGCCGGCGGCACAUUGGCGUCGACGUCGGCAGCAGCAUCGCCUCAGACGGGCGUCGGUGUCGGCGUCUCACGUAGGCCGCGCCGUUUCCAAGAAGCGUUGCUAUGGAACAGCGUCGGCGGAGACAUGGCCCGCAAUAUGAGCUACAUGUUUUCGGGAAUCGUCAGUUCCAGCUAGCGUCGAGGGAAAGAAAACAUGUUCGCCACAUACAUGCGAGCAGAUUUAGAGGAAAUCUGUAACCGCGGCUAAGUAGGCAUGAGGUCAUCGCCGUGGUCAGGGUGCGUGUCCCAAAAAGGAAGGUUGUCAGGAACAGAUCGUAGUCAUAACAGGUGAGUCAAAAAUUGCAGUGUACAGAGACAGAGACAGACAGAGACAGACAGAGACAAACAGAGACAGACA